RNAcentral lists this long non-coding RNA (715 nucleotides) under Ananas comosus (pineapple). RNAcentral describes it as "long non-coding RNA (ACOM_LNC028131)". Lineage: Eukaryota; Viridiplantae; Streptophyta; Magnoliopsida; Poales; Bromeliaceae. The record is from RNAcentral.
GCAAGUAAAUGGAGAAUACUGAUGUGAAAAUCGAAACUUGCAGAAUUACUUGAAGAAAAUAAUAGAAUUACUCUGCAGUUUCGGGGAAGUUGAGUUCAUACACUUAACAAGAGAAGAGAAUGAACAUACUAAUGAGCUAGCUCAAUCGGGUUCAAGAUAUAAAGAGCUGAGACUAGAUCAAGUGAAAGUAGAGCGAAGAUUAUUACUGUAAUGUAUUGGAUUCUUAAUAUAAAAGUAAAUAUAAAUAAAAAUAGUGUAAGAUACUAUUUUUAUUGGACUUAAAGAAGUAAAAUAUAAGUCAGAGCGAUUUGUGCUGAAAUCGGAACCGAAACCGAAAACUUAGAGUUUUCUGUAAAGAAUGGGAUUGAUAUUUUAGCAGAAAAUUCACAGUGCCAGAAAAUUAUGAAAAUCUGAAAUAUAUCAGGAUUAUUUUUAUGAGGCUAGAUUUAAAAUUACAUGUCAUUCCGACACCCGAAAAGUGGAAAAUAAAAUCGGACUGCUAUCUACUAGAGAUUUUGGGUCGGUAGAGCUUGCGAUGACAAAAAAUGGUCGAAACUGAAAAGUUAAGUAAUUUCCUUUUUAUUAGCUUAAACCGAGCCUGACUGUCAAAUUUGAGAGAAAACGGACAUUCAGAAGGGCUCCGGCGAAGAGGAACAGAUUCUGAGCUUCUAAACUGAAAUUGUGUUAAUGUUGGAGGUUGACUAUCAAAAGGGGU